UACGGAGGAUCCGAGCGUUAUCCGGAUUUAUUGGGUUUAAAGGGUGCGCAGGCGGGGGAUUAAGUCGGCGGUGAAAUUUUGCAGCUCAACUGUAAAAGUGCCUUCGAAACUGGUUUCCUUGAGUGUAGAUGAAGUAGGCGGAAUUUGUGGUGUAGCGGUGAAAUGCAUAGAUAUCACGAGGAACUCCGAUUGCGAAGGCAGCUUACUAAGCUACUACUGACGCUCAGGCACGAAGGCGUGGGGAUCAAACAGGAUUAGAUACCCCUGUAGUCCCU
RNAcentral lists this ribosomal RNA (275 nucleotides) under uncultured prokaryote. RNAcentral describes it as "partial 16S ribosomal RNA". It matches the Rfam family "Bacterial small subunit ribosomal RNA", at positions 524 to 798 of the family's 1533-position model. The record is from RNAcentral.